Molecule: non-coding RNA, 29 nt
Filed under: Rattus norvegicus (Norway rat)
Lineage: Eukaryota; Metazoa; Chordata; Mammalia; Rodentia; Muridae
Source: RNAcentral
UGGGUGUGUUUGUUCCCAGUUGAACUUUU